ACGGCUGGCAGAAGGGCGUUAGCUCGAAUUUCAGGUCAAAAAUCGAUUUUUGAUAUUUCAUGUCAUUUAAUAGAGUUUUCAAAGCUCUUUCAAAUGAUGUGAUCGAGAUGGCAUAAAACGAAGUAAAUGAUUACGUAAUCGACAAUAGUAAAAGGGCGUUAGCACAAACUGUCAGAUAUCGCGCUAAGCAGAAGGGCGUAAGCCCUCUACGCCCUUUGCAUAUUAGGCGCGAGCGUAAAUUUUGAUCAAAGCAGAAGGGCGUUAUCGCGAAGCUGACGUCUGCUAGGCCUGUGGUAAGCAAAAUAACUGCUUCUUCUUUUAAAUAACGUGUUGUAAAUGUCAAAUUAUCUGGAAGAUUUGAUAUAUUUGGUCACACUGAUUACAUUAUGAUUAGGAUCGUUAGAAUAUUUUGAUUUUAUCGGGUAAAAAUGCGAUGUAUAAUGAUGAUAAUUAAUACGUUGCCCCAUGUAUUGAUUUAUAUGGUAUCACGGGCAAGUAGAGUCAUUACGCAUUAUCAUUGACUCUCUGUGCUGGGGUGGAUGUUGAGUGGCAUUGACUCUAUGCUUUGCUGGAGUGGGUUGCAAUGGAAGCGCUCCCUUGAAGUUGAAGGCCUCCAAAUAUGAAGUAGAUCUAGGUCUAGCAACUAGCAUCAAGCCCCAAGUCAAGGGUGAUUUUCGAAAGUGCGUUCCACGCAGUUACUAGCUGUCCCGAGGGAAAACGUCAGUUCCGGUAGAGUUGGGUGCGGGAUGUGAUGUUGUUUGUGUGAGGUUGUUCAGUUAGAUCAAGAUACAUGUACAGUAUGUAGGAGUAGUCGUCAAUCUAUAGAUCUAUGUGCCGUGAUAAUCAUUUCACUGUUUUUUCGCUCAUGGAAAGACGAGACAAGACAACAAUUUGUAAAGACAGUGGUACGGAUUGAAAUUUGAAAGCAUGCUUAGCGUAGAUCUACAAAAUUAGUUAAAUAAAUGCCAGAUUGUUAGUAGUAUACCGUAUUCAGGUAUUAUUAUACCAAUUGCAACAGUGCAAGCAGAUUCUAGACUCUAGAGGUCUAAUACUUUUUAUUGUUCAAAUUAAAUUUGCAAAAAUGAUAGUAGUCUACAGAUAUGAAAGGAGAAUGGUUUGAAUUUUGAUACCUUUGUCUUUUAGUGGCUUUGUUCAAAUUUAAUCAAGGGCAAUCUCAAAUGAUAGUUGCAUGUCUAGAACUCAAGUUUCUACUUUCCGCUACAAGUAUUGGGGACGGUCAAUUGUAAAGUAGCUUGUAAGUUAGAUUAGAUCUACUUUCAGUCAAAAUUAAUGUAACCCUUUUGUUUCCCUCACUUUGUCAGGAUUUGCACAGCUAGGCUACAGCAUGGAGCAAACAAAAGAAUUGCUUGUUCAGUGGAAAAAAGAUGGCUCCAAAAACCGUGGUAGUGUAUGGAGAUAUAUUCAAUGUCCCUGUAAUCCAAUAAAAGGGACAAAAGUCUUCAUGCCUUGGAAAGGCAGGAGAUGGGAGGGAGUUGUCCUGUCAGUGGAUGAUGAGUCUGAGGAAAGUGAUGAUGACAGCAUACCAGAUCAACCAAGGCUUGACGUUGGAGAUGUCGGUGUCGGUGUCAGAAUGACAGACCAUGGACCUCUACCAGAUCAACCAAGGCUUGACGUUGGAGAUGUCGGGUCACAAUGACAGACAUGCCUCAUUGAAGUUCAAAUGUGUCAACAUUUCAUAUGUUUACAUGAAGUGUUUAGUACAUGCUCCCAGUGUCUUGUUUCCCUGUGUGAACACCACUUCAAAGAGGACAACCCAUGUGCAAACCACAAUAACUAUGCUCAUCUACUUCAAAUUCCGGAGAGGUUUUCAGAAGAUCAUCCAGCGAUCGACACAGUUCUGGAAUUGAUGACGGUUGUUCCCUUAGCAAUCGAAGUGCAGGAGACAGUUGACAUAGUUUCAAGUUAUCCAAGCAGACAGUGAAGAGAGUGGCUUCUACACAGAGAUAUUGGAGAACGUCCUGAACAAAGUGAGGUAAAAGUCUGAAGCUUUAAAAUGGUUGCCUGUUACAAAUUCUGCCAAGGGAGUGGAGAAUUUUCUUUGAAAAAGAUAAAUGUAUUUUAGUUGUACCAGAAAAUGGCUGGUGUACAUCUCUUUAGACAGAGUAAAUGGAAUAAUUGCUCUGCUUCCCUCUGAUGGAGGGGUUCUGGGAUAAAUGACCAUGCAGACGUACUGCAAUUCUCUUCUUUCUCCUCCCAUCUCUCUUUCUCUCUCUCUCUCUUUCACUCCCUUAUUUCUUGAUGAUGGCUGGGUUUAAAGGUGGGGUAAGGGGAGAGAGUGAAUGUAUUGGUUCAUUAAAUCAAGGCAAGAGAGGAGAAGCAAAAGGAGAGAAGCAUGUCAGUCAGAUUGCAAGGUUACAGUCAUUUACAUUGACUUGCUGCAGUGUUGACUCCUUCAUCCUUCACCAGUACUUUUACUUUUAUAGAAUUUUGCACUCUGUACAGUUCAAAGCAUGAAUAUGUUAAACUAAUAUUUUGUCCACCACUUUUAUAUUUUUUAUUCUAAUACAGAAUAAGAGAGCCAGGAAACGUAUUGCAGAUCCCAACAGCUGCUAAAGUUUCACUUAUUGUCAUACUUUUUUGUAUCGCCUUUGAUAAUGCUGAAAUAUUUUUGAAGUAUUUUCUCUUUUGUUAACUUACUGCACAGUACGUUAACUGCAGAAUACACAAAGUUCUUUUAAGAGCUACCAUGUUGUACUUUCUGCCAUAAACGUGUGCUACAGUUUCACUUAUUGUCAUACUUUUUUUUUUAUAUCGCCUUUGAUAAUGCUGAAAUAUUGUUCAAGUAUUUUCUCGUAUGUUAACCUACUGCACAGUACGUUAACUGCAGAAUACACAAAGUUAUUUUAAGAGCUACCAUGUUGUAAUUUCUGCCAUGAACAUGUGCUACAGUUUCACUUAUUGUCAUACAAUUUUGUUUAUUUGCCUUUGAUAAUGCUGAUAUAUUGUUCAAGUAUUUUCUCUUUUGUAAACUUACUGCACAGUUUUUAAAACUAUGCUACAAAAGCUCACUAGAGCUAGAACAGAUUCAACGCAGAAUACAAAACUUUCUUUUGAGAGCUACCAUGUUGUUCUUUCUGCCAUGAGCAUGUGCUACAGAUAAGUUCCAAUUUUUAUAUUUAAUCAUGAUUCAUUAUGAUUGAUUAAUUUUGAAUGAUUGUACAUGGAAUUGUAAAAUGAACUGUACAAAAAGGAUUCCAGUUAUAUUGCAAAGAAAUAAAUUCAGUCAUUACCAUGACAGAAGUGUUCAUCUUAA
RNAcentral lists this long non-coding RNA (3274 nucleotides) under Strongylocentrotus purpuratus (purple sea urchin). RNAcentral describes it as "uncharacterized LOC115927206, transcript variant X1". Lineage: Eukaryota; Metazoa; Echinodermata; Echinoidea; Camarodonta; Strongylocentrotidae. The record is from RNAcentral.